This 450-nucleotide ribosomal RNA is filed under the name uncultured bacterium. RNAcentral's name for it is "bacterial SSU rRNA". It matches the Rfam family "Bacterial small subunit ribosomal RNA", at positions 8 to 348 of the family's 1533-position model. The record is from RNAcentral.
AGAGUUUGAUCAUGGCUCAGAUUGAACGCUGGCGGCAGGCCUAACACAUGCAAGUCGAGCGGAUGAUGGGAGCUUGCUCCUGGAUUCAGUGGCGGACGGGUGAGUAAUGCCUAGGAAUCUGCCUGGUAGUGAGGGACAACGUUUCGAAAGGAACGCUAAUACCGCAUACGUCCUACGGGAGAAAGCAGGGGACCUUCGGGCCUUGCGCUAUCAGAUGAGCCUAGGUCGGAUUAGCUUGUUGGUGAGGUAAUGGCUCUCCAACGGGACGCUCCUUAGCUCAUGUGAGAGGAUGAUCAGUCCCUCGUUUUCCGGGACACAGCUCAGACCAUGACUGCAGACUCCACAGGCCGUCUUUUUCCAGGAUACAUCUCAUGUCCCGGACUCCGGAUCCACCUUCUCGUCGUGUGUUCAAUGUAAACAAGUACUAUGGCCACGAUUACCGGAUUCAGG